AUUGAACGCUGGCGGCAUGCCUUACACAUGCAAGUCGAACGGCAGCACGGGUGCUUGCACCUGGUGGCGAGUGGCGAACGGGUGAGUAACACAUCGGAACAUGUCCUGUAGCGGGGGGUAGCCCGGCGAAAGCCGGAUUAAUACCGCAUACGGACUACGGAUGAAAGCGGGGGACCUGGGGGCCUCGCGCUAUAGGGUUGGCCGAUGGCUGCUUAGCUAGUUGGGGGGGUAAAGGCCUACCAAGGCGACGAUCAGUAGCUGGUCUGAGAGGACGGCCAGCCACACUGGGAGUGAGACAGGGCCCAGACUCCUACGGGAGGCAGCAGUGGGGAAUUUUGGACAAUGGGCGAGAGCCUGAUCCAGCAAUGCGGCGUGUGUGAAGAAGGCGUUCGGGUUGGAAAGCACUGUUGUCCGGAAAGAAAUCCUUGGCCCUAAUACGGUCGGGGGAUGACGGUACCGGAAGAAUAAGCACCGGCUAACUACGUG
RNAcentral lists this ribosomal RNA (486 nucleotides) under uncultured bacterium. Its description in RNAcentral is "partial 16S ribosomal RNA". It matches the Rfam family "Bacterial small subunit ribosomal RNA", at positions 29 to 507 of the family's 1533-position model. The record is from RNAcentral.